AAGUCGUAACAAGGUUUCCGUAGGUGAACCUGCGGAAGGAUCAUUCAAGUAAUUAUGGGUGUGGGGAAGAGAUUUGGCGCAAGCCGAAGCUUUUUCCUACUACUUUAACAUUGGAUAAACCGACUGAACUCUGCUGUAGGCAACUAUGGCAGCAGUACCAAAUAUUAAACAAUUUGUUGUACCGAGUUUCCCAUCAAAAUAGUUGAAUUAAAAUACAACCUUUAACAAUGGAUCUCUUGGUUCCU
Molecule: unclassified non-coding RNA, 245 nt
Filed under: fungal sp.
Lineage: Eukaryota; Fungi
Description: partial internal transcribed spacer region
Rfam family: Eukaryotic small subunit ribosomal RNA (bases 1-46)
Source: RNAcentral